GACGAACGCUGGCGGCGUGCUUAACACAUGCAAGUCGAACGGGCCUGCCUGGCUUUGGUUGGGUGGGUGAGUGGCGAACGGGUGAGUAACACGUGAGUAACCUGCCCUCUUCUCUUGGAUAACUGCUUGAAAGGGCGGCUAAUACGGGAUGUUCUGGCUGCCUCGCAUGGGGUGGUUUGGAAAGAUUCGGCCUGGUUUUGGUUGUUUUGGUGGGGGAUAGGCUCGCGGCUUAUCAGCUUGUUGGUGGGGUGAUGGCCUACCAAGGCGGUGACGGGUAGCCGGCCUGAGAGGGUGGACGGUCACACUGGGACUGAGACACGGCCCAGACUCCUCGGGAGGCAGCAGUGGGGGAUUUUGCACAAUGGGCGCAAGCCUGAUGCAGCGACGCCGCGUGAGGGAUGGAGGCCUUCGGGUUGUGAACCUCUGUCGCCGGUGAUGUAGGCUCUGCUUUGUGGGUGGGGUGACGGAGCCGGG
Molecule: ribosomal RNA, 474 nt
Filed under: Actinomyces sp. oral taxon 448
Lineage: Bacteria; Bacillati; Actinomycetota; Actinomycetes; Actinomycetales; Actinomycetaceae
Description: bacterial SSU rRNA
Rfam family: Bacterial small subunit ribosomal RNA
Source: RNAcentral